Molecule: ribosomal RNA, 508 nt
Filed under: uncultured bacterium
Lineage: Bacteria
Description: partial 16S ribosomal RNA
Rfam family: Bacterial small subunit ribosomal RNA
Source: RNAcentral
GAUGAACGCUAGCUACAGGCUUAACACAUGCAAGUCGAGGGGAAACGAUAUUGGAAGCUUGCUUCCGAUAGGCGUCGACCGGCGCACGGGUGAGUAACGCGUAUCCAACCUGCCCAUCACUUGGGGAUAACCUUGCGAAAGUAAGACUAAUACCCAAUGAUAUCCGUCGAAGACAUCUGGAGGAGAUUAAAGAUUCAUCGGUGAUGGAUGGGGAUGCGUCUGAUUAGCUUGUUGGCGGGGUAACGGCCCACCAAGGCGACGAUCAGUAGGGGUUCUGAGAGGAAGGGCCCCCACAUUGGAACUGAGACACGGUCCAAACUCCUACGGGAGGCAGCAGUGAGGAAUAUUGGUCAAUGGGCGAGAGCCUGAACCAGCCAAGUAGCGUGCAGGAUGACGGCCCUAUGGGUUGUAAACUGCUUUUAUAAGGGAAUAAAGUGAGUCUCGUGAGACUUUUUGCAUGUACCUUAUGAAUAAGGACCGGCUAAUUCCGUGCCAGCCGCCGCAGUAA